Molecule: ribosomal RNA, 447 nt
Filed under: uncultured bacterium
Lineage: Bacteria
Description: partial 16S ribosomal RNA
Rfam family: Bacterial small subunit ribosomal RNA
Source: RNAcentral
AACGAACGCUGGCGGCAGGCUUAACACAUGCAAGUCGAGCGCCCCGCAAGGGGAGCGGCAGACGGGUGAGUAACGCGUGGGAAUCUACCGUGCCCUACGGAAUAACGCAUGGAAACGUGUGCUAAUACCGUAUACGCCCUACGGGGGAAAGAUUUAUCGGGGUAUGAUGAGCCCGCGUUGGAUUAGCUAGUUGGUGGGGUAAAGGCCUACCAAGGCGACGAUCCAUAGCUGGUCUGAGAGGAUGAUCAGCCACAUUGGGACUGAGACACGGCCCAAACUCCUACGGGAGGCAGCAGUGGGGAAUAUUGGACAAUGGGCGCAAGCCUGAUCCAGCCAUGCCGCGUGAGUGAUGAAGGUCUUAGGAUUGUAAAGCUCUUUCACCGGUGAAGAUAAUGACGGUAACCGGAGAAGAAGCCCCGGCUAACUUCGUGCCAGCAGCCGCGGUAA